RNAcentral lists this long non-coding RNA (1515 nucleotides) under Astyanax mexicanus (Mexican tetra). Its description in RNAcentral is "lncRNA (ENSAMXG00005000375.1)". Lineage: Eukaryota; Metazoa; Chordata; Actinopteri; Characiformes; Acestrorhamphidae. The record is from RNAcentral.
CAAGUACUCAGGCCAGCAGGUAGUGAGGUCAGCAGAAUAAGCGUCAUCACAACAACCCUACAAAUAAUAAAAAUGCUUGUGAGGCGUGAGAUCCUCUCUGUGUUUACUGAGAAGUGCCAACUGUAGAGUUGAGGAACUGUUUGACUGAGAAAGCCUGAGAAAGUUUGUUUUUCUCACUUCUGAAACACUGCAUCAUGAGUAUACCUUCACUGAGGUAAGACAUUUAGUCAGUUUAACUUUAACAACUUAAUAUGAUCAUUUAGCAAAUAUUCUCAAAUAGAAAAAAAUACAAAUGUGUGUGAAUAACUAUUUUUGAAAUUAGCUACAUGUGACCCCUUAGGCUCCAAAAUUGAUUUGUGUUUGCUUGUUUUUAAUACAGACACAAAACUGCAUUACACAAUUAUCUUCUCACCCCAAAUGCAGUUAAUUUACCUAUGCAUUUGUAACAUUUGAUAUUUGCUUGUUUAGUUUUGAACUGCUGCUACAAGGCUAAUGUAGAAACAUGCUUAUGGAAAUCUAUACCAAUACUCUUUUUUUCGUAUUUAAAAUAAUUGUAGUGUAUUACAAACAACUCCAAACAUAUGACUAAUAAAUUUGGACAAGAACAAAACCAUAUAAAUGGAAAUGUUGGUAAAUUAAUACUGCACUGAUAUUUAUGUACUAUUGGUAUAGAAAUGGAGUUGAAAUAGAAUUUAAUGACAUGAUAUGUACAAACUAAGGUUCACUAUGUUAGUAUAUGUACACAAACCAUGUGAACCUAUAUUAGCAUACAUUUAAAAUGUAUGCUGCAAUUAAUGCUGUAAUAUCAUUUGGUGCAUAGUAAUGCAGUCAGAAUACACAUGAAUUCCGAGGAGAAAUGCAUGGUAUGCUACACCCUACACCUACACCAUUUGCUACACCCUGGGUCUUUAAAAUGCCACAGUUGGGAAGGGCACAAUGUCUUUUAGUCUUUUGUUAGUAGUCGCAAUUGUAAACAAGCUCAUAUUUACAAGUCAGACCACAAUUAUAGAAAGCAUACUGUCAAACGUGGUUCAAGUUUUUUUUUUUUUUGUGGGACAGCAACAAAUUUCACUAAUAAUCUCUCUUUUCUGUCUUUAAGAGUUAGUCCCUGUGCUUCUGGUGACCAGCAGCAGUUCUUCCCCACAGUGUCCAGCCCUCAGGAUGUUAACACUGCAGCGUCUGGUUUCUUUGGUCAGUCUUCACACAGCUUGGCAGUUCCAACCUUACUGUAUGUUAAACAAAAUUCCAUGGAAGGACCCAUCGAACUGAAGGACUCUUCUGAAGAAGUUGAUGACAUUCUCAAACCCACAGUAGACCUGUGUGGGUAUAUCUCUGUGUUCCAUUAAGAGCAGGACAGGUUGUGUUGUUUUAUCAGGCUGCAUGUCAUCAGCAGCCGGAGGCUCUCUCCCUACAUCACUUCCACUGUGACCAAAGGAUUUGGCUUGAGGUUUAAUCAAAAGAAAAGAAUAUUUGUUAAUUUUUUCCAUUUCUUAAAAAAAUAUAUAUUUGCGCUGU